CGCAUCUGUGCAUGCAGCAUAUCAAUAAGCGGAGGAAAAGAAACUAACAAGGAUUCCCCUAGUAACGGCGAGUGAAGCGGGAAGAGCUCAAAUUUGAAAUCUUAAAGGGUUUCCCUUUACGAAUUGUAGUUUAAAGAAGUGUUUUCUGUUGAGGUUUUGGUAAAAGUUCUUUGGAAUAGGACAUCAUAGAGGGUGAGAAUCCCGUAUUUGACCUUUACUUUCAACUUUGUGAUACACUUUCAAAGAGUCGGAUUGUUUGGGGAUGCAGUCCAAAAUGGGUGGUAAAUUUCAUCUAAAGCUAAAUAUUGGCGAGAGACCGAUAGCGAACAAGUACCGUGAGGGAAAGAUGAAAAGAACUUUGAAAAGAGAGUUAAACAGUACGUGAAAUUGUCAAAAGGGAAGCGUUUGACACCAGUGUUGUUUUUCUGAAAAUCAAUUAAAGAACUGUUUAUGCUAAGUUGUUUAGACUUUAUCAAGCUAUCUGUUUAGUUUUGAGCUUUUCUUUAAUGCACUUUUCAGUUAACAAGUCAACAUCAAUUUCUUUUGCUGUAAAAAAGCUUGAGGAAGGUGGCUUGAGAUUCGUCUUAAGUGUUUAUAGCCUCUUGCCUAUGCAGUCGGAGAGAUUGAGGUCUGCAGCGUAGAUCCUUCGGGGCUAAAUGCAUUUGUGCUAAGUUAUAGCAUUCUAUAGACAACUUGUUGACUAUGAUUUGUCUUGUAGCUUACUCGCUUAUGUUAUUUUACCUACGCUUAGGAUGUUGAGUCGUAGAGCACGCAG
RNAcentral lists this ribosomal RNA (775 nucleotides) under uncultured Neocallimastigales. RNAcentral describes it as "partial large subunit ribosomal RNA". It matches the Rfam family "Eukaryotic large subunit ribosomal RNA", at positions 26 to 628 of the family's 3401-position model. Lineage: Eukaryota; Fungi; Neocallimastigomycota; Neocallimastigomycetes; Neocallimastigales. The record is from RNAcentral.